UACGUAGGGUGCGAGCGUUAUUCGGAAUUACUGGGCGUAAAGCGUGCGUAGGCGGUUCGUCAAGUCUGAUGUGAAAGCCCCGGGCUCAACCUGGGAACUGCAUUGGAAACUAGCGAGCUUGAGUGUGGCAGAGGGGGGUGGAAUUCCACGUGUAGCAGUGAAAUGCGUAGAGAUGUGGAGGAACACCGAUGGCGAGGGCAGCCCCCUGGGCUAACACUGACGCUCAGGCACGAAAGCGUGGGGAGCAAACAGG
This 253-nucleotide ribosomal RNA is filed under the name uncultured bacterium. RNAcentral describes it as "partial 16S ribosomal RNA". It matches the Rfam family "Bacterial small subunit ribosomal RNA", at positions 524 to 776 of the family's 1533-position model. The record is from RNAcentral.